Phalaenopsis equestris is the source of this 1953-nucleotide RNA transcript. It is a transcript of the gene named methionine aminopeptidase 2B-like, with no coding region annotated. NCBI's taxonomy places the organism in Eukaryota, Viridiplantae, Streptophyta, Magnoliopsida, Asparagales, Orchidaceae. The record is from RefSeq and is a predicted model, not a curated record. The transcript is spliced from 14 exons.
ACAGUAAUGCUCCGAAAAUUUUCGUGGGAGGCACGCGGCGAAGAUCUAAAGUUUUUCUUGAGGCGGGCAUCUGGUCCGUAGAAGCGAGCUAGCUAGAGCGUGAGGAAGAAGUAGACGCUGCAUUAAAGGGGGUCCGAGAAGCGGAAGAAGAGAAAGCGAGCUAGAGCUAGAGCGAGAGCGAGAGACAUAGGAAACUGAUAGGGUUGGAGGGUCGGAGCAGGCGGGAGAGCGAUCGAGAGAGAAAGCGAGAGGAGUUCGUAGAAAAAGGAACUGGCUUCUCGUUUGGUUGAAGUCAAGACUGUGGUACCGAGCAUCGUGGAUAUGGGUGGAACUGAUUUUGAAGCUGUGACAAAGUGUAUUCAUGAUUUGAAUGGAUUACAUCUUGCUCAACAAAAUGAAAGCCAGGAUUAUGCGAAUAUUGAUUUGUCAAUGGAAGAAAGUAAUGAUAAGAAGCCUUCAUGUUACUCUGAUAAGAACAAGAAAUCCAACUUUCUUCUGCAAGAUGAUGAAGAAGUGCUAGUCGAUUCAACAGUUGAUGAAGUGCGAGGGUCUACAAAGAAGAAGAAGAGAAACAAAUCAAAGAAAAAGAAUGAUCCACUUGAGCGGACUAAUCUACCAUUAUUUCAAUCCCUUCAGCAGAGUGAUCCACCGUCAAUACCUGUUGAUGAAUUAUUUUCAUCAGGGGAAUUUCCUGUGGGUGAAAUUCAGCAAUACAAGGAUGACAACUUGUGGAGGACAACUGCUGAAGAGAAAAGAGAGCUCGAGCGCUUAGAAAAAUCUAUGUACAAUGCUGUUCGUCGAGCCGCUGAAGUUCAUAGACAGGUUAGGAAUUAUAUUCGGAGCAUCCUAAAGCCAGGAAUGUUAAUGAUUGAACUCUGUGAAACCUUGGAAAAUAUGGUUCGGAAACUGAUUAAAGAGAGUGGACUUCAAUCAGGAAUUGCCUUUCCUACAGGGUGUUCUUUGAAUUGGGUUGCAGCUCAUUGGACUCCUAAUUCCGGUGAUAAAACUGUACUUCAAUAUGAUGAUGUGAUGAAGUUGGAUUUUGGAACACACGUUGAUGGACAUAUAGUUGACUGUGCAUUUACUGUUGCAUUUAAUCCCAUGUUUCAUCCGUUACUUGAAGCCUCUAGGGAAGCCACAAACACUGGGAUCAGGGAAUCUGGAAUAGAUGUACGACUCUCAGAUGUUGGUGCUGCAAUCCAAGAAGUUAUGGAGUCUUACGAAGUUGAAAUCAACGGGAAAGUGUUCCAAGUUAAAAGCAUCAGAAAUUUGAAUGGCCAUAGUAUUGGACCUUACCAAAUUCAUGCUGGCAAGUCUGUUCCUAUUGUAAAAGGUGGUGAGCAAACGAAGAUGGAGGAGGGCGAAUUUUAUGCUAUUGAAACUUUUGGCUCAACUGGCAAAGGAUUUGUGAGAGAAGACCUUGAAUGCAGCCAUUACAUGAAAAAUUUUGACGUUGGACACAUACCACUAAGGUUACCCAGAGCAAAACAACUACUUGCUACCAUAAAUAAGCAUUUUUCAACACUGGCAUUUUGCCGGCGCUACUUGGACCGCCUCGGCGAGGCAAAAUAUUUGAUGGCACUGAAGAAUUUGUGUGAUGCUGGUAUUGUUCAGGGCCCUAGCCGUUGGAACUCCUUCCCAUGCAGUUUUUGGUUGUCAGAACUACUCUAUCUGCAAGCCUUAGUUGUUGGAACUCUUUCCUCCAAGAGCUACUUGUAGAAACUUCUGCCCCUGCAGUCCACUAGCCGUUAGAACUCUCUCCCUGCUGGGCCCAGUCGCUGGAACUCCUGUCCUUGUGGGUCCUAGCCCUCGAAACUCGAUGGUUUUUUGCGUGCAGGCCCUCAAUCACCUCAGAUGCAGCAAGAUAACACGGUUUAAUUUUCACCAUGAAACUCAACGAAUCAGUUGCGAAGCCCUUUCGAGGGCAAGAAAAGCAUUGGAGACAUCCAGUUA